This 337-nucleotide ribosomal RNA is filed under the name Armatimonadota bacterium. RNAcentral describes it as "bacterial SSU rRNA". It matches the Rfam family "Bacterial small subunit ribosomal RNA", at positions 1 to 334 of the family's 1533-position model. The record is from RNAcentral. Lineage: Bacteria; Bacillati; Armatimonadota.
CUUAUGGAGAGUUUGAUCCUGGCUCAGGACGAACGCUUGCGGCGUGCCUAAGAAAUGCAAGUCGAGCGAGGUCAGGGAGCUUGCUCCCUAAGCCUAGCGGCGAACGGUCGAGUAACACGUAGGCAACCUGCCCCAAAGCGGGGGAUAGCCCACCGAAAGGUGGAUUAAUACCGCAUGUGGUCACAUUUGGGCAUCCUUAUGUGAUUAAAGCAGUGAUGCUCUUUGGGAUGGGCUUGCGGCCUAUCAGCUAGUUGGUGAGGUAACGGCUCACCAAGGCGACGACGGGUAGCUGGUCUGAGAGGAUGGUCAGCCGGACUGGGACUGAGACACGGCCCAG